This 388-nucleotide long non-coding RNA is filed under the name Homo sapiens (human). Its description in RNAcentral is "HSALNT0327275". The record is from RNAcentral. Lineage: Eukaryota; Metazoa; Chordata; Mammalia; Primates; Hominidae.
GUGGCCUAGGUGGUUCAGUAAUUCUAAUAUUCUACCCAGAUGUAGGCAGACCUGUUUACCCAGCUCCCAGCUGUGCUGGAAAACCACAGGCCUCCCCACCUUGGAGGAGCAGGUUAGUCAGGCCAGGAGCACUACUCUGAUGGACACCCCUCAAUAGACAUGAAGCCAUGAAGACUGGGGAAAUGUAGACACGAUGGUUGGAGUUCCAGAAGUUGUCUUGGACGAUGAGGUAGCUUUGAGGAUAGAAGCCUUUGGCUAAGGAAGGUGGAGCACAAAGACAGAAGACGAAGAGCAUUCCUGAGGACUGUGGAGUUCCAUGCCAGCCUUGCAUUGUCUAUCUUGUUACUUCUGUGGGAGAAAAAAUACAGUAAACCUCUAUCUUGCUUAA